CGGGAAGUAGCUCAGCUUGGUAGAGCACAUGGUUUGGGACCAUGGGGUCGCAGGUUCGAAUCCUGUCUUCCCGAC
Molecule: transfer RNA, 75 nt
Filed under: Parageobacillus caldoxylosilyticus
Lineage: Bacteria; Bacillati; Bacillota; Bacilli; Caryophanales; Anoxybacillaceae
Description: tRNA-Pro
Rfam family: tRNA
About the family: Transfer RNA (tRNA) molecules are approximately 80 nucleotides in length. Their secondary structure includes four short double-helical elements and three loops (D, anti-codon, and T loops).
Source: RNAcentral